UACAGAGGGGGCAAGCGUUGUUCGGAAUUACUGGGCGUAAAGGCGCGUAGGCGCCUUCUAAGUCGAACGUGAAAUCCCCGGGCUCAACCCGGGAACUGCGUCCGAUACUGGGAGGCUUGAAUCCGGGAGAGGGAUGUGGAAUUCCAGGUGUAGCGGUGAAAUGCGUAGAUAUCUGGAAGGAACACCGGUGGCGAAGGCGACAUCCUGGACCGGUAUUGACG
This 221-nucleotide ribosomal RNA is filed under the name uncultured bacterium. RNAcentral's name for it is "partial 16S ribosomal RNA". It matches the Rfam family "Bacterial small subunit ribosomal RNA", at positions 524 to 745 of the family's 1533-position model. The record is from RNAcentral.